Molecule: ribosomal RNA, 579 nt
Filed under: Triticum aestivum (bread wheat)
Lineage: Eukaryota; Viridiplantae; Streptophyta; Magnoliopsida; Poales; Poaceae
Description: partial small subunit ribosomal RNA
Source: RNAcentral
AUGAAUAUUGCCCUUCUAUCCCGGUGGCUGUGGCACAUCGCGCAGGGUCAUGGUGGCCUCUGGCUGGACAUUAUCCGGAAUAAAUACCUGCGAGGUCACCCCCUAGCCUUUUGCCAGAAAUCAGGCGGAUCUCAGUUCUGGCAGUCUCUCGUCCAGCUUCUCCCAGUACUCCGCAUUGGUACCUCCAUCUCGGUGGGGUCCGGCCUCUCGACGCUAUUCUGGUUUGAUCGCUGGGCCGACGACUCCCCAUUUGCGGCCCGCUUCCCCGCCCUCUUCUCUAUCUUCGUCGACCCUAUGAUCUCUGUUGAUAGGGCCCUUCUUGACUUAGGGCGCCUUGCUUUCCGUCGGCCCUUUGGGCCGGCAGAAUCCGCCGCCUGGCGUGAGUUGCUCGACUGCGUUGCUCUGCAUGAGCCGUUGGUGGAUGGGGGUCAGGACCUUGUGCGCUAGCGCUUGGAACCAUCGGGCCAGUUCUCAACCAAGUCGCUAUACUUGGCCAUUGCCCCCUCCUCCGCCCCCCUUUCCCUAUUGAUGGUGUGGUCCGUCCGCGUCCCCCUGAAGAUUCGCAUCUUCAUGUGGUAG